Molecule: long non-coding RNA, 5702 nt
Organism: Neopelma chrysocephalum (saffron-crested tyrant-manakin)
Lineage: Eukaryota; Metazoa; Chordata; Aves; Passeriformes; Pipridae
Exons: 4
Source: RefSeq, a predicted model, not a curated record
GUAAAUUAAUUUGUUUCGUUGAAGGUGAGUAAUAGAAUAGAAAGCCGUUAGGCUUUUCUAUGUAAGCUACUGGUUUAAAGUAUAUCUAGUAGGACUCAAGGAUUGGAUAUGGUAAAACCUGAACUUGGUAGCUCAAAGAUGGUACAGUGCAUUGAGUUGAUACUUUUAUGGGAAUGAGAUCUUGCUCCUGAGUGACAACUUUCCGCUCAGAGCCCACCUGCCUAUAUUUAAAGCCAGGGCUCUUUUUUCCCUAUGUACAUAAUUUAUCUCAUUUUUAUCUGUUGUUUUACUGACCACUCGCUCUGUCUCAUAAGGUCUUUCUGCCCUCAUUUAUACCGCUUCCCUCAUUCUCACUACUAUGAAUACUUUCAUGGAUUGGCAAACUAUCAUAUCUCGUUGCUUCCUUCCCUGUCCAGGUUGUUGCUGAGAAAAGUCCUUAUAUUCUGAAAUUACAAUCCAAGUAUAAUAAAUUAUGCAAAGGCAAAAAGACCAAAAUUUGCCAAGCCAGUAGUACCCACAAACAUCUUACAUGCUGAUAUUGUCCAUGCUGAUUUCUGAAACUCUGAAUUUCUUGAAGAAAUCAAGAAACACCAAAUAUUUGAACUUUUUCAAGUGAAGUGUCAAGUGCUGACAUGGUAUAGCAAUACCUAGGAGAUCACUUCAUAUGAAUUUCAAUUCAUCCAAGUCUUUCACAUUGUAGAAGUUUUCAUUACUCAUUGAAUCCACAGGAACUUGGGAUUACUGGCUUGUGAAGUUCUUCAUAAUGAAAGACCAGUAAAUAAUUUAUCUAAAGCAAGUAAGAAGUCAUAUAUUAUAUAUACCAGGAUGCCACGUGUAACAGGUAUGUCUGUAUUUAGCACCACACUGUUAUUAGUAGCCAUGGAACCUGAUCCUGUGUGAUGUUGCUCUGUUUUGAUAGCUCUUUCAGACUGGAUUAAAUAGAUGAGGAAGGGUGCCAGUUUUAUUUGACACAACCCAGGUUGCAAAAUUAAUGUGUAAACAGAUCUAUUAUAUAGCAACUUGGAGUUGGUAAGUGAACAAAGACUUCAACGGUUUUGUCCCUUUUAAUCACUCUGUGAGUAAUUGUGGUUUAGGUGAAACUGAUAAUAAUUUUGUUGCAGAAAUGUUUAAAAAUUUGGUGGUUCAAAACUAAUAGUCAUUGUAAUACCUUGUUUGACUCAAAAAAAAGGUUGUCUUUUGUUCACAUCAAACCAUUUAAUAAUUACCGUAUGUUAAACUUAAAACCUUUAAAGAGCUAUGGUGGGGAAAGACAUAUGAGAUGUUACCUUAAAUUCUUCUUUUUUUUUUAAUAUCUUUCCUUCUUGUUGAAGUGUUAAGUUUAGUGUAAAUUUCUGAAAUAUUCAUUGGUAUCCUGGUUAUGGUCAGUUCUUCUGCCUCAGAAGUGGAAGAUUUAAGUUCUAUAGCAGAGUGUCUUUCAUUAUAGUUAGAAAGGAAUCUGAAUGAAGUAUAAUAACUUCAAAGUUAAAUGCCGUUCAAGCAUACACAAACAGCUUCCUGGACUCUCUUGUAAGCUGAAAGGAAAGGACAGAGGAAAUACAGUUGAUAAACAAAACGUCCUCCUUUGCUUUUCUAGUCUAGUUGCAAAUCCAGCCAAAAAAUGUAAGGAGUUCAUUCAAAAAACCAUUUUUUACAUUUAGUUUUUCUAGAUUUUUUUAAUUUUAUUUUUACAGGUAAUGGCCAAAUGAGUCCCAAAAUGUUUAAUGGCUUCAGAAUAACGAACAGUUCACUGGAAAGGUUGCCUGGAUAUGUUCUGCAUUCAACAACUGAGCUUUUAUUUAAUUUUAUCUCAUAACAAUUACAAGAAAUCUUGAAUAAGUCUUUAUAAUAAGGAAAGACAAGUUUGGUUUGAUAUGGAAUGUUAUAAAUCUACCAUAUUCACUCUUCUGACUAUUUGUUUUACAGCUGGGAGGACCACGACUGUAACUCAGAAUAGCAGAGAACAGCUAACAGGAGUUGGCUUGAGAGUAACAAAUGCCCUGGUAGAAAAGAGUGGGAUAACUAAAGAAUUAUUUUAGAAAUUUGAAGUGUGGAGGACAAGGGAAAGUUGAUGAUGAGAAAAGCCGAGGAAGAAAUCUGAAGAUCAGACACCAGAAUAGUUGCUAUUUAUAAGAAGGUAGGAGCUUGGAAAAGAAAUAGAGGAAUGUGAGCUGCUUCAGGGGUAACAGGAAUGAGACAGAGGAAACAGAGACAAAAUUUUUAGACAGAGGCUAUCAGAGAAGGAGCAGAGCAGAAUAGGGGGAGUUUUCAGUCACACAGAAGCAAGGUUCAGAAACAAUCUGAAUGUCUAGGAGAACUUGAGAUGAGACCCUUCUUCUCCAGCACCCCUGCACAGGUCAUGAACUGAAAUUUAACUAGAUUCAAAGAGCUGACAGGAUAAAAGGGUCAACAUUCGGGGUCCCACAGAUCAUGGCAACAAUUAUUGUGAGGGUCAUCUCAGAGUCAAGCAUGCAAACCAGAAGGCAACAUCUUUUCUUCCAUGAAGACUACUGGCAUAUAACUGCACUAUUUUAGUUCUGCAUUAUGGCUGCAGAUGUUUUCAGACUUUUCUCUUUAUUGAACGAUGAAACGUUUCAUUCAACUCGGGAAAAUGACUGGUCUUGUCAAUUGCUUACAACACAGGGAGCAAGCAGCCACUCAUUCCUUUUUUUUCCUGCAACUCUGCCGCUCGUCCAGCAGGGGGAGAUGCAGGAACAAGGAGACAAUUUCUCUCGACGUCUAAAGAAAAAGACCUGGGAUCAUUUGUCAGGAGAGUUCCCCUUUGUCUAAGCUACUGUACAACAGGUCAAAUACAAGACAUUUAUGAGACACUUAUUUACUAUCUUAGUUUAGUCUUCGUUUUGCAGAGGAGUAAAAGGUCUAUCAAGUAAUUAGACAGUGUUUUCCAGGCCCUGGUAUUGAGUGCUCAUCAAUAGUAAAUCUUCUGAGUUUCAGCUGUCAGUCAUUAAUAACUGAGUACAUGUUUGAGCUGUGCAAAUCCAGGUAAAAGAAACAUAAAUGUGGUUGAAAGGGAAAGCAUAGGUUUGUUUAGCUUUUUAUUACUUAGUGCAGUAUUUUUAAGCAAACAGAAUAAGCAAAGGAAACUGAAAUGGCAGCCUAAAUUAAUUGACUAUGCAUGAUAAUAGAUAUUUAACUAUGGAUAAAAGGAAGUUUAGCUAUCUAUUCAGCAUGUAAUUUUUCCUGUACCUUACCAGUGUAUUGGUCUGUUUCAUUACUAAAAUGUAUUCAUCAUGCUGUUGUAUCUCGGCCUAUACCCUCACUCUUCGUCAUGGAAGUUUGUUUCUUAUUAUUCAUUUAUCUUACUAUAGUACUCUGUCAGGAUCAGAUCAUGUGAACGUUCCCUACAUGGGUUUGAUUUCAUUCCUACUCUUGUGCCCACAAACACUUUUGUACUUUUGGGGUACUAGGAUUGCAAGUAGAUGCAGGAAACAAUGGCAGCAAAUAGACAACUUACCUGCUCUAAGUUAAGCAAGUACAAAGCUCUGUACGAUUUUGGCUUUACUCAUGCCCAGUUUAUCCAGUAACUUCCAUCUGUUUAGGUUUUGCUGGCUGGUUUGGUUAUUAUCUUUGGUCCUCAUGUCUCUUUCUCAAACUGUGCAGUGUCAUGAUGAUCUUUUUCCCCUCUCUCAUUAGGUAUUUGUUAGACCAAGACAUAUUACCUUUCAUUUACCAAGCUGGGCACUGUAAUAAACCAGAAAAUAUCUGGCCAGAUCCUGAAAGCAUUUGACAUUCAUGCACAAGGAAUUAAUAUAAAGUUAUUUGACACCCCAAUAACUGUAUACUUACACUGUGCUUUUUGCCUUAAUCCCCUUUAUAAAUGCUCUGUGUGCAGCUCUGGUAGAGCUUUGCAUUCCGGCAUAGUCUGUCACACACUAACUUCUUUCGUUAGGUGUGCGUUGAAGCUGUGAAGCAGAAGCAGCCUUCAGGCCGGGUAGAAGAUAUCCAAGUCUUUACUUAUCAAAGUUUGGGUUUAGAUAUGAGUCCAGACUUCACAGCUAGCACUGCCUCUGAAAUAGUCUUUUUUGGGUGGUUUGCUCAAUGCUCCCUCAAAACUACAGAGCCAUGCUCAUGAAAGUCGACAACACUUUGCAGAAUAUGUUACUUACCAGUGUAUUCUCCUUAUGCUUUUCUGCCUACUGGUUAUAUCAGCCUGAUAAGCUUCUAAAUACAGAUAAAAAAGUAGCAGAGGUGAGGCUUGUCUUAUCUGCCUACUUCAUCACAUGGUCAAAGGAUACAUUAGCAACCACUUCACUGAGGAUAAAUUUCUGUGGGUCCUGCCACACACAGAGUUGUUACACUCAGGUUGAGACAGACAAAUCUCCUUUUCAAAGAAUGGGUGAGGCAAAGCCAGAGCUUGUUCUGGAAGCUUGCCAUGCCAGACUAGGCGAUAAUGUCAGAUCCUCUCUUUUCUUUAAUCAAAAGGGUGAACUUUCAGCAUGUGUCACUGUGAACAUGUUUAUUGGUUUAGAGCUACUUGAUCAGGUGGAAACAGGACAUGGUCACAAGGGAUAACCACAGAGCAGCCAGGCUGGGAGAUGUCCUUGUAGAGCUGUGCAAGUCUUGAACUGAAAAGGAAGAAAAUAGGAGACGGAGCUGCCUCUGCCUCAACAGGCAGGAUCACCACGGUUCUGGAGGAGGAGAUGAUGUAAGGAGGCUGCAGCUGCACAUAUGCCAUGCUGGGGGCGGUUCUAGGAACUUCCCCAUCUCUGCCUGCCCAAGAUCCUGAUAAGUAUAAAAUAUUGUGAAAUUGUUGUAGAUGUUUGUGUUUAAGUAGGAAACUGAAGAUCUAUUGCAUUUGGCAUCUUUUUUUCCUAACUUUUCUGGUAAUUUUCAGGCGAGAAUCUUGGGCUGGAAACAGGUAGAUCUUGGGGUGUAAAUCUGGUGCAGUUGCAUCCUGAUAACUGCAUGAGCACACAUGCAGACACUGCAUGAAAUGCUGGCAUUUGAAAAUAUGAAAGGGGAAAAAAGGUGGAUCUACAUUUGAUACUAUUGUGAAGGAUUUGCUCUGCUUCUGAAGAUUGCCUUACAUCUGCGCUUUCUAAAGUCAGGGCAACCAGAUUUUUUUUCCAGUUUCUCUGCCAGAGCUAAUGUGCCUAGGGAAAUGCAGGGACUCAGUCCUACUUCAAAGUCCAGUUAAGACCCAGGGAUGAAUGUGCACUAUUAUCUUCCUUACACUCAUUUUUCUGGGAGCUCUUCCUUUGUUUACUCUCUCCUGAAACAAAACUUAUCUGCCACCCUGUUCAGACUGCAAAGAAAGUGAUUUUCAUCACUUGUAUUUUUUUAGCUAUCACCUUAUCUCCAGCCUGAAAGAUGGGAUAAGUUGUGUCUUCAUUUGAGUAUAGCUCCAGGCUUCCACUUAAAACAUUACAGACAAGAUGUUUUAGGGUCUAGUAAGAGCAGUGAUCCUCCUCCAUGGAUUUAGUUUUGAAAUGCGUAGAUUUAGAAAUCCACCUCUGUAACAUAAUUAUUUGUUAGAUUUUAAUCAAGAAUAAGUAUGCUAAAUUUGCUGUCUAAAUAUGUCUAGGACUUGGACAAAUUUUUUCACCACCGAUAUUCUAAUUAUAUAAAAUAGAUGUGGAUGUAAACAGAAAGCAUUUUUUUCAUGACUAAUAAAAAUAUAAGUGGAUCUAAAUAAGUAUCAUAUGGUGUUUGAUUUUAAAAGAUAAGAGAUCAUCAACUGUCAG